UAUCUUCAUCUUGCAUAUAACCGUUUACUUUUGGUAUUUAUAGGAUAUAUAUUUCCCACUCAGAUAACCUAAAGAUGCGACGAGCUAUAGUCUAUCUCUAGGUCCAUGUGAUUUGAAACAUGGCUUUUAUUGUAGUGAGGUGUGCGAAUUUACUUGCGACUGCUGAAACAAAAAUUGAGGCAGUGCGUUAAACAACUUCAAAGUGUAUAUGGAGUGAAAAUGAUGGUCUAUCUAUUCUGGAAUUUCUUUUGGGGUGCUGUGUAGGUCUCAUGAUAGAUUUUUUACAUGGUCACAAUGGCCAUUGCUAGAUUAUCAAUUUAGGGUUACCAUUAUACAGGUGAUCGUACACUAUUUUAACAUGUUUGAUAGAUCCUAAUAAAGAUUUUUUUUUCUACUCAUUGGAUCACUGCGCACCAUAUCUUAUAGGAGUUGCUUAGCCAGUGCAGGCCAUCUCCCUGUUGCUGGCUAAGCUGUGCCCUGCAGCUUAUAUGGUGGUUGGUUUGUCAUACAAUUAUUCAUGUCCAUCUAUCUUUGAAACAUAUGGUUCCUAUCUAAUGGCUGCACGGAAACGCAGACAAUUUAGUAUGGGGUAGGUACAUUCAUUUUUUUAGAAUUGGAGGCCUUUUAUUUUCUUGCAUACCUCAUGAUUUUUGUUUACUAUCCAAAAAUGAUGAACAGUUUCUUUUGUGAGCCAAUUCACAUUCUGCAGGCUUCUUUCCUUGUCUCAGGAAUGCACUGAUUCUGGUAAGUUCAGAUAGGUGCAGUACAUGCAUCGGGAAUUUGGUUUCAACAUCUUUGGAACUUAGCUUUUCAAAAUCUUUGCAGACCGUAAUUUGGUUUUGUCAUCUGCUAUUUUUAUUGUUUUUCCACCCUCUUUCAGCCUAUGACGAAAAUUUUGAACCCAUUGCUAAACAAUAUGAUCUGAUAUUUAUUCGCAUAUGAGGUACUGGGCUUAUAUCAUACAAUUUUUGAGUGUAACUCCGCUGCCGUCAUGCUUAAAAGUUCAGAGUUAAUAAAUAAAUGAUGAUUCAUAUGUUUCUGAGGCUUAAAAAGCCUAUUUUUAAUGAAAAAAUAAUAACUUUUUUGGUAAGGCGACAAAUGUCAUCUGUCAUUUUUUUAUUCUCUCUUUCCUUAUUCAGCCUAUGAUGAAAAAUUUAUACCCAUUGCUAAAGGAUAUGAUCUGAUGUCCAUUCGCUUGUGAGGUACUGGGCAUGCCUUUCACUUAUUUACUCUUACAAACCUAAGGUUACUCGUGCACAGGAGAGAUGUACACGUCACCCCUAAAUCUCCCAUUGGUCCACCUCAGCGCAACCUCCUCCUCCUUCCUCCUUCCUCUCGGGGUGGCGGUGUGGUGGGUGGCAGCAGCGUUUACCUUCACAAGCCAGAAGCUCACCGCCACAGGCGAAGCUAUACACGUCACCCCAAAAUCUUCCAUUGGUCCACCUCAGUGCUGCCUCACCUCCUCCCCCUCCCAUUGGUCCACCUCAGCCAGCAUGCCUUUAAGCUCCAAGUUGGUAGACAAAUGAUGAGUGGUAUGUUUUUGAGGCUUCAAAAAAAUCCUAUCUUCAAUGAAAAUAAAAAGGAUAGCUUUUUCAUUACGGUACUAGAAUUUUUUUCAAUGUCGUCAGCUAAUUGUAUCAUAUGAGGGAAAUUGAUGAGGCCAACUUUGAAAUACAUGGCAGUUUGGAGAUCACUCCAAACGGCUAUACUUAUUGUAUUUAAUGCACAAUACUGCAUUGAUACUGCACCUAUAUGGACAGGUUCGUUGAUUAUGUGUUGUACACUUUCAUUAUUGUUUCCCUUCAAGUUCUGGAGCUUAUUGUUGUGUAUAUGUUAGCAAAUCUUGCUGGUUUCAUGCCAUCGAAUGACAUUUGCUCGAUGAAUUUGGGAAGGGAGGCCUUAUCAAGAAACCAUAUUUUUUAUUUCAUCGGUGUAUACUUUAUUUUAUUUUUUGUAUCUACAUCAACACUUGAUCUCGGUAGUAGAUUAUUCUAAUAAAGUAAUAAAAGACCUGGUGAGUUAGCCAUAGUAUCAUCUAUCUCAAUGUUUGGUCACAGUUGUUUAUGUGUUGCUGAGUGAUGCAAGCUGUCAUCUACCUCUUCCAUCAAAUUGCCUGCAGAUUGUACUGCAGGUACCUUUGUUUAGGAAAUAGCUGAACCAAAGUAUCUGCUUGUGUUCUAAAAUAUAAGAGCGGAUGUUGAUUAGCCUAAUUUAUUUAACAGUCCCUCUGAGGCCUUAUGCUUAUUUUCCAAAAUAUCACGCUAUCUUGUACAAUGGAUCCUUCAAAGUUUAAUAUCCUAUAGAUUAGUUACUUUCAUUUAUUCAUGCAGUAUUGAUUUGGAUUCGUUGUUGCUUAAGUCAUUGUUGAUUUCUCCUAUCUUUUGCGAUAGUUAUAAAGAGAUCAAGGACAGCCAGUACUUCUAUGGAGAUGGCAACCUUUAAAGAAACUUAAUAUCAGUUUCGCCGUGUAUAUAUGACAUAUAAAGGAAAGUUAAAAACAUGUAGUAUUAGCAGCCUGUAUGUGCACAGCUAUAUUCAUGCUGCCUAUGUCCCUGUGCUCCUUCUACUUGCAUAGAUCUGUGCCUACGGAUAUGUUAUUUUCAUUAAAUCCACUAUUUCUAUCUCAAAUAUUUUUUGUUUUCUUUUUUCCUUUUCCCUUCAGAAACACGCGAAACUUCGGUUCUCUGCAUUUUUUCCUGCCUUAAUUUGCUUUUACUCCCUAUGACACUAACCCUUUUCUUCAUACCACAACAGAUUUGACAUGUACCUUGCAUACUCUCUAGGCUGCUAACCCUUUUCCUACUGCUAUAGAAUGGAGCAGCAAGAUCGGUCCUGCAUUUGCAACAUGAACAUGGUCAUACUCAGUGCAUAGAACAACUUGCGGUUCAACUUGAUAGGUUCAACCUGUGUAUAUGACAAUGCCUUCUGAACCCAGUGUAUAUCAUGUGAAGCACCUAUACUCAGCUAUGUAUACCUACAUUUUGCACAUGUGCCAUGUAUAGGAACUGCUAUAGGUUCUUCCACAGUGAGCUAAAAUCACAUAUGUUAACAUCUUUUGUAACUAGAGUUUAUCCAGUAUUAUAUAAUAUACUACUUACUGUUUUGAUCCCCAAUCGGCACGCAGGGCGUGCCAUUCCUACUAGUAUGCUAUACAUUGAAGAACAAGCCUCUUUAGAGCAACUCCAUCACAUAUAUGACAUUAGAGCAUCUCCAAGAAAUUCUCAUAUUUUAUUCCCCAAAAUAUGGUAUUUGUCAACUCUUAAAUUAGUAUGAGCAGGAAAAAAAGAAGUCAUCUCCAAGAGUUUGCUAUAUUUUUAUCUUAAAAUUUUUUUCUCAGCAUUUUUUUCCUACGACCCGGUCUUAUAUUUUAUAUUAGGAACUCUCAAUUUAUUUCUAUACGUGUGUAAGCCCUUUCACUAAAUCUUUCUCUCUUGUGUUUUUCUCACAUGGAACCCUGUCUUUCUCCUUACUAGAUGGGCCGGAAAACUCAAGAUACGCGCUCCUAGGCCACGUGCAUAUAUGCGCGCUCGAGAGAAAUUUUUGCUGAGGUUGGAAAAGAUGGGGAAGGAAGAUGGCAAACUAUUGGAGAGAGUUUUUUUUUUUUUUUUGCCAAAAAAUUAAGGAUGGAAAGGCCGGAUGGCAAACUGUUAGAGAUGCUCUUAUGUAGUAAGUUUUUGUAGGAGAGUACCCUAAAACCAUUUCAGCAUAUAGGCGAGCACUGCUGCAGCAAAUUACCUUAAAUUUGUCUCCUAUAUUUCUUUAGGAACAGGAGAUAUCUUAAAAAGUAUAGGUGGGAGAUGAGAUAGGAGAUCUGUUGCAGCACCUGUCUCCUAAAAUCGUAGUUUUUAGGUGUGGGAUAUUUAGACGGGAGAUCAGGGGUAUAUGCGUGGUUGAUCACUAAGGCAGGAAUGUAACGGUUCCAAUCCAGCUAUGUUAGGUAUUUACUGCUUGAAUCAUUCAUGCUUUUACUCAAUAAGAAGGAUAAAGGUCGACAUGUGUAGAAUAACUUGUUGACCUCAGUGGCUGUAUGCCUACAGUCCUACAGAUUUGGACUAAAGUAAAUUGCACUUAAGUUCUAGUCAAAUAACUCCCUACUUUUUUUAUGCCACACUCUUCAUGACCAAUUCCAUGCUGCAUUGACACUUGGUCAUAAUCAGUAUCUGGGGCUGACAGAUCUGGUUCAGAAUUUGGAAAUGCAGCCUACAUGUGACACUUGGUCAUAUAUCUGGGGAUCUUCUUCCUUUUCUGCUAACAAAGCUUACAGGCAGCUUAUUGGGCAUAGGCAAGUUCAUAAAGCCUGUCAAUGGCUGUGGAAAUCAUCCUGUCAAAAUAAAAGGAAGUUCUUCUUUUGGUUAAUACUUCAGGACAGGUUAAGCACAAGGGCUUUGCCGCGACGUAGGAACAAAACAUGCACUUGACGAAGAUCUUAUUCACUUGCUCUUUCAAUGUCCUUUCUCUUGGUCUAGCCUGCAACUGACAGUCUCCAGCAGUCUUGAUCAAUUGAAAGUUUUCGGGAUCAGUUACAGUUGCUGUUUUUUAUGAAGAUCAUCAUCACAAUGUGCUGGUCCAUUUGGACAAUGUGAAAUGACGUUAUUUUCAACAACAUUCCUCACUCGUGCACAAAUGCAAGGUUGUCUUUAGAAAGGAGUUUGCUCUGGUUAUACUUAGAGCAAAGGCGAUUUACCAUCCAAGGAGUGAUUUAUGCUAGAAACCUUUGGGUAAUUGCUUUGAUUUUCUUCUUGACUUUUUUUUUGUCUCAUGAGACUUUGUAGUUUGUACUUUGUAUCAGUUUUUAAUAAAAUUCCAGUAGGAGGUAAAACGCCUCCUGUUCCAUAAA
Molecule: long non-coding RNA, 4837 nt
Organism: Sorghum bicolor (sorghum)
Lineage: Eukaryota; Viridiplantae; Streptophyta; Magnoliopsida; Poales; Poaceae
Exons: 2
Source: RefSeq, a predicted model, not a curated record